AUACAUAUUCUAUCUUAUGAAAUGGUCACGUUUUCCAUUGAUUCUGGCUUUGUGCCAGCCAAGGAGACAUUUCCAAAAUGCUAAAUACCACUCCAGUCAGUGGCCAAUACACAAAAUAGGAUUGACAUUCGUGGCAUCUAUAAUUAACUCUGAUUCUUACAGUGACAUCCACUGUUGUGAUAAGCCAAACUACAUUUGAGAUAACUUGCUUUUUAAUCAAACAACACAACAAUGCUUCAAGAAAUUGGAAUUCUUCAGCUUCUCUCAAGCAGAUGCAAGAUAAUGUUGAAGACCUCCAGUGUUCCUUGAAUAAUCAAAACACCAAGAAUGCCUACAAAACCACCAAGGUUGUAGAAGUUGGUGUGCUUGAAAAUGUCAGGUUAAUAGCAAUAUUAAACAUUUCGGAGAACAUCGUCUGCCAUUGGGUUUUUAAAGAGAUCCAAACCAAAUGUAACUCCUCUCUGGAUUUGGAGAACCGGCAUAUCAUUUCAGUGGAGUUCCCAAGAAUCAAAGAAACCCAAGAGGGAAAUCACACACUGUUAAUUACAACUGAAACCAGUAACUACACUAUAGUAUUUACGUUGUAUAUAAGGA
Molecule: non-coding RNA, 594 nt
Organism: Thamnophis sirtalis
Lineage: Eukaryota; Metazoa; Chordata; Lepidosauria; Squamata; Natricidae
Source: RefSeq, a predicted model, not a curated record